CGCGCCCACGUGUGGGCGUUUGACGGUACCGUAAGAAUAAGGACCGGCUAACUCCGUGCCAGCAGCCGCGGUAAUACGGAGGGUCCGAGCGUUAUCCGGAAUCAUUGGGUUUAAAGGGUCCGUAGGCGGGCCUGUAAGUCAGGGGUGAAAGUUUGUGGCUCAACCAUAAAAUUGCCUUUGAUACUGCAGGUCUUGAGUCAUGGUGGGGUUGCCGGAACAUGUGGUGUAGCGGUGAAAUGCAUAGAUAUCACAUAGAACACCGAUCGCGAAGGCAGGUGACCAACCAUGUACUGACGCUGAUGGACGAAAGCGUGGGUAGCGAACGGGAUUAGAUACCCCGGUAGUCCACGCCGUAAACGAUGGAUACUAGCUGUGGGGACUUCGGUCUCCGUGGCCAAGCGAAAGUGAUAAGUAUCCCACCUGGGGAGUACGUUCGCAAGAAUGAAACUCAAAGGAAUUGACGGGGGCCCGCACAAGCGGUGGAGCAUGUGGUUUAAUUCGAUGAUACGCGAGGAACCUUACCAGGGCUUAAAUGCAGGCUGCAUGGGGUAGAGAUACCCCUUUCUUCGGACCGCCUGCAAGGUGCUGCAUGGUUGUCGUCAGCUCGUGCCGUGAGGUGUCAGGUUAAGUCCUAUAACGAGCGCAACCCCUACCGUUAGUUGCCAGCAUGUCAAGAUGGGGACUCUAACGGGACUGCCGGUGCAAACCGUGAGGAAGGUGGGGACGACGUCAAAUCAUCACGGCCCUUACGUCCUGGGCUACACACGUGCUACAAUGGCCGGUACAGAGGGAAGCCACCCCGCAAGGGGGCGCGGAUCUACAAAACCGGUCACAGUUCGGAUCGGGGUCUGCAACUCGACCCCGUGAAGCUGGAAUCGCUAGUAAUCGGAUAUCAGCCAUGAUCCGGUGAAUACGUUCCCGGGCCUUGUACACACCGCCCGUCAAGCCAUGGAAGCCGGGAGUGCCUGAAGUCCGUCACCGAGAGGAGCGGC
This 992-nucleotide ribosomal RNA is filed under the name Flagellimonas marinaquae. RNAcentral describes it as "bacterial SSU rRNA". It matches the Rfam family "Bacterial small subunit ribosomal RNA", at positions 451 to 1456 of the family's 1533-position model. Lineage: Bacteria; Pseudomonadati; Bacteroidota; Flavobacteriia; Flavobacteriales; Flavobacteriaceae. The record is from RNAcentral.